This 1119-nucleotide ribosomal RNA is filed under the name uncultured Basidiomycota. Its description in RNAcentral is "eukaryotic LSU rRNA". The stretch from base 681 to 1119 matches the Rfam family "Eukaryotic large subunit ribosomal RNA", at positions 1 to 429 of the family's 3401-position model. The record is from RNAcentral. Lineage: Eukaryota; Fungi; Basidiomycota.
CUUGGUCAUUUAGAGGAAGUAAAAGUCGUAACAAGGUUUCCGUAGGUGAACCUGCGGAAGGAUCAUUAUUGAAUAAAACUUGGUUGGGCUGUUGCUGAUCCUCCAGGAUAUGUGCACGCCUACCGACCAACUUUUUACCACCUGUGCACCUUUUGUAGACGCUGGAUAUCUCUCGAGUGCCCAACUCGGUUUUGAGGACUGCCCCAAGCUUUCCUCAAAUUUCUGCUCUACGUUUUUUUAAUAUACCCCAUUGCAUGUCAUUGAAUGUUAUUGAUAUAGGCCUUUGUUGCCUUUAAAAUCUAUACAACUUUCAACAACGGAUCUCUUGGCUCUCGCAUCGAUGAAGAACGCAGCGAAAUGCGAUAAGUAAUGUGAAUUGCAGAAUUCAGUGAAUCAUCGAAUCUUUGAACGCACCUUGCGCUCCUUGGUAUUCCGAGGAGCAUGCCUGUUUGAGUAUCAUGAAAUUCUCAACCUUUUCAGUUUGCUGAUCAGGCUUGGAUUGCGGGAGUUUUUGCAGGCUUCACAGAAGUCAAUGCUCUCCUGAAAUGCAUGAGCAGGAACCCAUUGUGGACCCAGCUCCUGGUGUGAUAAUUAUCUAUGCCAUGGCUGCAAAGCAACUUGCCAAUUUUUUGGGGGGUUUUUGCUUCUAAUUGUCUCAUCUGAGACAACAUUUUGACCUUUGAUCUCAAAUCAGGUAGGACUACCCGCUGAACUUAAGCAUAUCAAUAAGCGGAGGAAAAGAAACUAACAAGGAUUCCCCUAGUAACUGCGAGUGAAGCGGGAAAAGCUCAAAUUUAAAAUCUGGCGGUCCUUGUGGCUGUCCGAGUUGUAAUCUAGAGAAGUGCUAUCCGCGCUGGACCGUGUACAAGUCUCCUGGAACGGAGCGUCAUAGAGGGUGAGAAUCCCGUCUUUGACACGGACUACCAGGGCUUAUGUGAUGCGCUCUCAAAGAGUCGAGUUGUUUGGGAUUGCAGCUCUAAAUGGGUGGUAAAUUCCAUCUAAAGCUAAAUAUUGGCGAGAGACCGAUAGCGAANCAAGUACCGUGAGGGAAAGAUGAAAAGAACUUUGGAAAGAGAGUUAAACAGUACGUGAANUUGUUGAAAGGGAAACGCUUGAAGU